RNAcentral lists this ribosomal RNA (405 nucleotides) under uncultured bacterium. Its description in RNAcentral is "bacterial SSU rRNA". It matches the Rfam family "Bacterial small subunit ribosomal RNA", at positions 355 to 776 of the family's 1533-position model. The record is from RNAcentral.
UGGGGAAUUUUGGACAAUGGGCGCAAGCCUGAUCCAGCAAUGCCGCGUGUGGGAUGAAGCCCUUAGGGGUGUAAACCACUGUCAGGGACUACCAACAACAUGAGGAGUCCCAAAGGAAGAGCCGGCUAACUCUGUGCCAGCAGCCGCGGUAAUACAGAGGGCUCGAGCGUUAAUCGGAAUCACUGGGCUUAAAGCGUGCGUAGGCGGAUUUGAAGGCGCUUUGUGAAAUCCCUCGGCUCAACCGAGGAACUGCUUGGCGAACCACAAAUCUUGAGGCUGGUAGAGGUGGUCGGAACAAUAGGUGGAGCGGUGAAAUGCGUAGAUAUCUAUUGGAACACCGAAGGUGAAGACAGGCCACUGGGCCAGUCCUGACGCUGAGGCACGAAAGCGUGGGUAGCAAACGGG